Malus domestica (apple) is the source of this 690-nucleotide long non-coding RNA. RefSeq lists it as uncharacterized. The record is from RefSeq and is a predicted model, not a curated record. NCBI's taxonomy places the organism in Eukaryota, Viridiplantae, Streptophyta, Magnoliopsida, Rosales, Rosaceae.
GAUAAGAUCAAUCCCUAAAACCUAACCCUAGCUACCUUCUCUUCGCCAAUCCUCCAUGGUCACUAUAUAUUCAGUGAAGACGCUGCAGGUUGGCCGUAUAAGUAGAUAAAUAGAAGGAUUAGCUCUUCCUUUUUGGGCGUGUUUGGUAGGGUUAUGUGUAGGAGAUCAUCAUCCAUGGCCUCAGGUCAAGAGGAAGACGAUAACGAUGAUCAUGAUGAUGAACAGAUUUUGAUGGCUCUCACCAUCACCAAUCGAAUCGAUGAUUUACCAGAGAAAAUGCUGGCCAAACAUUGUCCAUGGAUCCUGCCAUGUUUUGCACAGACCACGCCAACAUGCUUGGUAAUGUCAGGCCAGUCUUGAGACUGUGCACCACCAGUAGAGUCGGAGCAGCAUGAAAGUUGACCGAUUUAUGAAGAACAAAAUGUAGAAAAUACGAUAUAUCCUAGAUAGCUAUAUAUAUAUGUGGAGAGUUAAGAAUAAAGGAAUGAGUUCACCGGGAUCAUGGCUUCAUGACCCCUUUUAUUUAUAUUUCUGUGGCCUUCAAUUAAUUAUGCAUGUCCCAUUUGACAGUGUAAACUGGAAAGCCUUCUGACUUGUUUAUAUAACUAUUAUUUGUGAAAAUUUUCUGAAUUGUAACUGAAUUGAAGUUCUGAUUCAUAGGUCAAGAAAGAAAAUUUUUCUUUGAUUUUA